This 2568-nucleotide long non-coding RNA is filed under the name Mus musculus (house mouse). RNAcentral describes it as "long non-coding RNA chr4:21998891-22001459". Lineage: Eukaryota; Metazoa; Chordata; Mammalia; Rodentia; Muridae. The record is from RNAcentral.
ACUGUUUUACAGCCAAUAGACAGUGUGACCUUGGCCAUUCUGGCUUUUGCAGGAGCAGAGACCUUCCCCAGACCUAGAGUUUCCAAAAGUCAUCUUGCUAGACCAUGGCAACUAUGAAGCUCUGGUUUCAGGAGAAUCAUGGCUUCAAAAUGUCUAAUUUGUGGGCACAGAAGGAGUCUUUGAAAUAAUGAAACAAAUAAGUCAUGAAUAUAGUUUCCCACCUAGUCCUGUUACAGUGCUUUGCAGUCCAUUCUGUGCACAGCUAAUUCCAGCAUUGCUUCCUAGCACCAAAAAACACGACUGCCCCUCAUUACAGCUCUAGCUAUCUUAAGACAAUCUAUUGACUGCCAAAUAAUAGACAUAUACAUUUAUCAUGAGCAGUUCGUUUUACAGAAAGUAGUUUUGCUAACUGAGUAAUUACUUUCCCACCCUCUGUUAGCAAGCAUUUAUGGUUAUUUAUUUGCUUUUAUCCUGCAGCUCUAGAUUAAUGUACACUUCAUUUGCCAGUAAUAUUUUAAUCUUUUUCUUUAUUUAGCACUUAAGCCGUCCUCUGCUCUCUAAAAAAAAAAAUGGAUUUAUCUUGUAAAUUAAGAUGUUUGUUUCAGGGCUAAGUAGAGGAACAUUCUUCCAUUUGUGGAGUUUACCCUUUAUAAUUGUUCAGGAUGGAAGUGGUCUUUCAUAUUUCCUUCACUCCUACCCUUUCUGAGAGAUCACUCUUGGUUUAUUAACCAAGCCCAGUGGCUAGAUUUUAAUUUUUAAUUAUAUUUGACUUUUUUUUUCUUCAAUAAAAUGACCGGAGAGAACAUUCAAAUGUUUGGCAGGUCUCUGUGUCACCAGGAAUGACAUGUUUCUGUGACUCCUGUCAAAGUGACUUUGCCUCAAUAGUAAGCUUCAUGAGAGGAUCCUGCCAACUGUAAACAGGUUUUACCAACGGACCUGCAUGAGGUUAAAUGACAGCUCAGGUGUUAAUUUGGAUGAUGGUUUCUUCAUGAUGGCAGUUGGGAAAGUAAGGUUCCAAGUCCUCUUUCUGUGGUUCUUAGCCUUUCACUGAGAACAGGAGAGAAAGAAAUAGCACCAAACACUGGGAUUCAGACAAUGGUGUGCUGUGGCUGGGUUGGCGAUGUGUUGGUCAUGGAAAGGUUUUUAGAUAAAGGAAUGUUAUAAAAAUAAUACAAAGCAUAGGCUUCCAAAUGAGAAACAGUCUACAUAGUGACAGAUUUGGAUGCACACGUGGCCAGUGUGGAGAGUACUGAAGCAACAUUCAUCUUAAUCUCUCACCAGAGACACAAUCCCUGAACACACAGCCUUGUUCCUCUCUGUCUCAGUGUUCCUGCCCCAAUACUGUCCCAUUGACCCCUGGGUUGGCAAUUUGCAGAGGAACUUACAGGUCCUGGCCCAGUAUGUUUGUUUACUCCUUUAAAACAAACAUCCUACUAUCAAAAGUUAUGGCACCCAUAAACAAUGUACAAAGCAAUUGUAUUUUCUUUGAAAAGUUUUGAAAAAUCUUUGGAGACACUCGGGUCAUCUAUAUCUAGACAUUUGUCCAAAUCAUUGCAUUUAAUUUGUUAGUAGAGCUUUCUGUGCUUGUCUUUCUGUAUUUACUUAUAGUAAAUGCAGAUGCAUAUGUGCAGACACAGCUAUAUUUGUGCAUAUGUCUCUGCUGAUGUACAAUGUCCACUGUAAAGCACCUCAGGCCCAGGCAUUGGGAAGUGUGUGAUUCAGUAGAGUUCAGGGAAUGGAGACAGUUGCUUAGAUAGCACCCAGAAGGCUGCAACUGAUUAGAGGAGGUAUCUGUAGUUGGUGUGGCAAGUGGACGGACUUGGAGACAUGGUUUAGGUCAAGUUAGUUAUUUACUUUUAUGCAAAUUGGCAAUAACUAGUCAAUGGCUAGAUGGUACUUGUUCUCCUUCCUUCCUACUUGAGACGGGAUCUCGUGUAGCUAGAUCUCACUUUUACAAGAGCUCAUUUUAAUUCCGUUUUUGGGAACACCCAAUCUAAAAAUGCAUUGACAACUCCCAAAUGUUUUCACCACACUAAGGAAAACAAGGAGAUCAAGGAAAAGGAACCCAAAUUUUUCAAUACAAAAUGCAUUGCUAGAGAAUGUGGGGACAUUUCUGACAGGCAAGCUUUGCUAAUAGCUGGUAAUCACCAUCUCGCCUUGUGUCUCCAAAUGUAUGGAAGAUGUCCGGGUUUCCCCUAAGACAUCUGAGAUUGUAAGAGCAUAACACUGGCAUGAUUUCAGCCUGCCUUUCAGCUGCUUGGGGCUGAUGGAGGACAUGGACCUGUAUCAUCUGGCUUGCAAACACAGUGACUAGCAUCUCCCUAUCGAGGGCCCCAGUUUGGAGGAUUCAUUCAGUGUUUAUUUCUGGAGCUAUGAGUUACGUUAGCACAGUUACUGUUAGUAGUUUACAAGCCAUACUUCCACUUGUACACUUGAUUGUAAGAUAGAUUUAAAUUGUGCACUAUGUUGAUUACUCUAUAUAAACGUGGAAAUUCUGUAUAUUUGGUCUUAUGCUAUAUGUAUUUGAUGUGUAAAUGAUAACUAACAGAUAUGAAAUAGUUUGCUGUG